This 44440-nucleotide long non-coding RNA is filed under the name Malus domestica (apple). Its description in RNAcentral is "long non-coding RNA (MDOM_LNC007116)". The record is from RNAcentral. Lineage: Eukaryota; Viridiplantae; Streptophyta; Magnoliopsida; Rosales; Rosaceae.
CAUAAAGAUUAAAGGUUUUCAGACAUUUCAUAUGAAUGCAGCUUGGAAGACUCUUAAGUUCCUUGCAAUCUCUUAGGUUUAAAUGAAUCAACCCCGUGAGAUUAUUAAUUGACUCGGACAGUUCUUUAAUUUUGGACUUGGAUAAAUUAAGCUCUUGUAACUCCUCCAUACCUUCUGAAAUCUCUGGAAACAUCUCAAGGCUCACGCAGCCAAAAAGAUCAAGAGUUUUGAGAGAUUGCAUACGAAUUUUGCAGGGUAGAAUCUUAAGUUUUUCGCACCCUUUCAGAUCCAAUAAAACAAGUUUUGUAAGAUUCGAAAUAGAUGGGUGAACCUUAACUAACCCUCCACAACCAUGAAGAAUUAGCCUCUCAAGAUUUGGCACAUUUGUGAAGUCAGGGGUUUCCUUAAGGUAUGAACAAUAACUUAAAUUGAUGAAUUUCAACUUUUCCUGCGUCUGUUAAAACAUUCAGGAAAACAUGCAUUACUUAAUAAGACAUCUCACUCAAAGCCCAAACAUUUAAAAGAAACAAAUACAUGUAAAUGAUUGCACAUACCUGGGUUCCUUCCCAAAGUCGGUCAAUGUGGCUAUAUUGCAUGUCAAGUCCAACAAGAUUUUCGAAUUGAAAGUUGGAUGGCAAAGACUUGAGCGGGAAACAAGACCAGGAAAGAAACCUCAACUCACUAGAAACAAACUUUAAGGACCCAGUCAGGUGUUGUAUGCUGAAAGUACCGAUCUUGAGAAGUCUUAGUUUAGUCAUCCUAUCAAAAGCUUUAACAAUUAAGCAUCCCUCAUAUGAGUGCCCCAAAUCUAGGAUUAUGCUUUUAACUGUUUCUGUACCCUGUGCAAAUCAAAGGGAAGGAAAAAGCAGAGAACCUUAGUUUAGAUUAUGAAGUUAAUGGUUGUUUCUUAAGGAGUUGUUUGAUAAUAAUUUUGUUUUCACUUUUCACUUUUGUUUUGAUUAUUUAUUUAGAAAUCUGAAAAUUGAAAACAUAUAACUUGUUUGUAAUUGUUUUCAAUUUUCAAUUAUUAAAAAAAUGAAAAUUAAAAAUUAAAAAUGGAAACAAAAGUGGUUAUCAAACGAGCUUAAGAAAUUGAUUUUGGUCAAAAGUUGAAGCUUUCUACUAAACAUUGCAUAAGAAGAGAAAUUAUCACCGUAUUUUUAGUUAUCACAUGAAGAACAUCUUCAUAACUCCACAACCUACUUCGUUUCCCAGGCUCUUCGAUAGAUUCUUGCUGGACGAUUUUCCGACCCAUUUCCUCUAGUAAAUCAUGCAUCUCCAGUUCCCCCUUCCAUGAGACAGUUACUAGAGCUCGAUCGAUUAAAACUUUUAUUCCAAUAUCAGGAUAGGAACCACAGCUGUGCAGAACUUCGGUUGCAUAGUCUUUUCUCAUUCCUUUAAAGAAACAUGCAAUAUCUAGAAAGAUAUCCUUCUCCGUGUCAUCUAGUCCAUCGAAGCUUGUUUUAAGCACAUCAUGAAUUCCCUUUUGCGGGAUUUUCUUUAUUUUUUCUAACUCAUUUUCCCACUGGCGUACAUUUUUGUUAUCAAGAAAAGCUCCCAAGACUUUGAGUGCUAAAGGCAGACCUUGAGCAUAUUUUACAGCACGCCUCGAGAGAUCAUCAUAAUCUCUGUUGGGUUGGUUUUUUCUAAAGGCGUACCGCCUAAAGAGUUCCAGAGCUCCAUUAUCACUUAAAAUCUUGGGAUUAUAUAUCUCAUCAGCUAUGCUUAGUAAUUGCGAAUCUCUGGUUGUUAUAAUAAUUCUGCUUCCACCACCAAAGGAAUGUGGUUCUUUAAGUAAAGCUUCAAUUUGUUCUAAUUCUUCCACAUCAUCAACAACAAUAAGAACUUUUCUCCGACCUAGGCUAUUUAACACCACCUGGAAACCUUUAUUCGAAACGUCGGAACUCCCCACCUUGUUGUUCGAGAUACUCGAUAGAAGUUCUGCCUGCAUAUAUAGUUUGCCAUGCUUUAUGAAACCUUCCUUGAAAUUUUCAAGAAAGCAACAAGCUUUAAAUCCACCAGAGAUUUCAUCAUAAACAGCUCUAGCGAUGGUUGUUUUGCCUAAACCACCCAUACCCCAUAUUCCAACAAUGCGAACAUCAUUAGUUUCAACUCCAGGAGGAUACAAUAAUGAAUGCAUGUUAUGCAUAUGAGAGUCCAUUUCAACCAAGCCAUUAUCUUUGCUUGAUGAUGAUGAGAUGUGGAUCAAUUUCUUAAAAACAUCUUCUACAAUUUUCUCAAUAAGCUCUGCAUCAUCCCUGUCAAAUUUAAAAAACAAUAUAAUAACACCACCAAAUAAUACUUAAUGGGUCUUUUUCAUCUGUUAGUUUAAAAAAAAUAGAAAUUAAAACUAAAACUAAAAUCUAAACGUUAUAAAAAUCCCAAAAAUUAAUAGGAAACUAAAACAAAUUAGAAUUUACUCAUAUUUCGCGAAUCCCAGCCGGAUAAACUGGUGGCAAUUGUAAGAGCGGAUCUCCAGCUCUGAACCUCUUCCAUUUCAGCGUUAGAAUCACGAUCGUGCUGAGCAAAAGCUUCCUCGAAUUUUCUCUUGAGUUUACGAACGUCAGACGGAUCAACUUCAUAGAAAAUGGGGAGUACAAUCUGGUUAUUGGUAUCCUUGCAUUUCAAGAUUUGCACGAGUUCUUUCAAGCACCAAGUGGAAGAAGCAUAGUCUUGAGAGAAAACUACAAUCGAAAGCCUUGACUCUCGAAUCGCUGUCAGGAGCUCAGAAAGGUGGUCGCCUUUUCUGAGCUUCUCGGCAUCAAUGAAGGCGUUGAUUGGUUUCUUAACCAGAGCGUUGUAGAGAUGGCUGACGAAGCCCCUGCGAGUGUCUUCCCCUCUGAAAUUGAUGAACACAUCGUAUUUGCAACCAAGGCCAGAAGAAGAUGAAGAAGAAGAAGCAGCCAUUAUUAAUCGAUCGCACCUGGUCAGCGACGAUCGAGCAGCUAAGACUAAGAGAAUUGUAAGUACAGAGAUACUCAAUAGAUCUACAAAUUGGAUCACCGGAAAUUAGUCUGAUCGAUACCAAGUCAAUGAGUCAAUGCAAAAGUAAAAAGGGGAAAGGGAAAUUAUGCUUUAUGUUUUUUCACAUCUUCUUCGGGGAAAUUUCGGUGUGAAAGGAAUCUUAUCCUUUUGAUUUUUUAACCGAAGCAAAUGCGAAGAAAAGGGUCAAAGUGGUAAAUUGAAUAUACACUUGCCUAUCCAACAACCUCUUAAUUUAAUAUAUUUAAUUGAGAAAAGUAGUUUAGAGGAAGAGGUAUUCAUCAAUUCCCCAUAAACUUGUGACCAUUGGCCAAUUUUCCCCCUCAACUUUAAUUUUGGCCAAUUUCUUCCCUAAACUCUCAUAAUUAGUUAAUUUCCCCCAUCAACUUUAAUUUGGUCAAUUUCCCCCCUCAACUCUCAUAAUUAGUCAAUUUGCACCCUACUGUUAAUUUUUUAUUUAUUUUUCAUCUAUUCUUUUUUUUUUCUUUCAAUCUUUCUAAUAACUUCCAACAAAAUACUAAAAUUAAUAUAAACUCACCUGCAUAAUAUAGGGUAAAAUGUACAAAAACAUAAUACCAUUAGUAUGUGAUAUGGGUUGAUUAUAAGAAAAAGUUAUGAAUCGGGUUUAAAUCAUGUAGAAGAAGAAACAAUAAUCCUAAACUCAUGGAUCAGACCUAUUUCAAUAAAAUGGGUUAUUCUUAAUAAGGAGUCGAAAAUUAUGAAUUGACUAGCCAUUUUUGCACUAAACCUCGAUUCUCCGCAAUUUACUUGAACUUAGCUUUCACUUUUAUAAAGAAAAUUGUAUUCACAUACAAAAAUGUACACAUCAAUCCUUUUCGUUAUCAAUUUUGUAUAGUAAAAAAUCAAAUAAAAUUACUCCAUACUAAUUUAUUAUGACUAAUAAUACUAUUUAUGAUAAAUUGUAAAAUUCUAAAUUUUAAUCUAUUUGUAAUAGGAUAAAGACAUAGGAAAAUGAUUAACAUACAUCUUAUUUAGUUUCUUACACACACUUGUUUAAUUAUGAUCAAAUUAAAAAAUUAACAGUAGGGUGCAAAUUGACUAAUUAUAAGAGUUGAGGGGGGAAAUUGGCCAAAUUAAAGUUGAGGGGGGAAAUUGACUAAUUAUGAGAGUUGAGGGGGGAAAUUGGCCAAAAUUAAAGUUGAGGGGGGAAUUGGCCAAUAGUCACAAGUUCAUGGGGGAAAUUGAUGAAUACCUCUUAGAGGAAUGAUGGUAUCUCUUUUUCUUCUCACUCAAUCUUCCAGCAUGCGAUUUAAUCAUGAUUAAAGCCAAGCUUAAUAAUAGGUCGUAUUAUUUAGGUCGUUUUGGAUUAUAAGUUUUUGUUGUGAACUUGUGAUACGAUAGUUAGAAAAUUAAAAAAAUUAUAAUUUAAAUAUAUGUGGUGAAAUCUGUUAAGAUUUAGAUUCAAAAUUGAAAAUUUCAUUAACUUCAUUAAUUAUUAGCACACGAAGCUUACAAAUGAAAUAAAAAUAAUAAAAUUAGUCUCACAUGUAAUCUCUAUGCGCUAACAAUUAAUAGAGAGAUUCAUUUUAACCUAAAAUGUGUGACUUACGUACUAAUAAUUAACAAAAUAUUGACAAAAUUUUCAAUUUUAAGCAUAAAUCUUAAUAAACUUCAUCUCAUAAACUUAAAUCCUAAUUCAACAAUCUUCUCAUUACCUUACCACUGCAAACUACCUUGCCACUACAAAAAUUAUUAAUCAAAUUAAACUUAUUAUUUACUUACAAAUACGUAACUCAAUCACCGAAAGCUAUCUCCGUUGCUAUCUCCGUUUCUUUGCUGAGUGGACAGCUGUCUCUUUGUCUUCUUUUGGCAGAUAGCUACUAGACUCCUAGUGGCCGGCCUAUUUUCCACAGCUGGUUAUAGGACUCAGUUGCUAUUCAAGAAGUGUUAUGUUGUAAUUCAAUAUUGAUGGAAAUCCAACAGAAUCUUCUUCGAAUUGUUGUGAGCAUUUUGGGAUAUUUUUUAAUCAUAUUCAUUUAUCGUUGUGGGAUCAAUUUUAUUAAAUAUUAUUUAUGUUUAAUUUUAAAUAAAUAAAUUUAAAAUAAAUUUUUAUCGCACGAUAUACUAUGAACGAAUACGAUUCAUAGAUCUCCAAUAUCUUCACAAGAAGAAUCCAAAAGGAUCCGGAUUCAAUGGAAAUAAGCUAAUUUUGAAUCAAAUAACAUUACUUUAUUUUGUAAGUAAAUUAAUUUUAAAUCAAACAACAUUCAUUUAUUAUGUAGCUAAUUAAUUUUGUAUGUGUCAUCAUAUAUAUUAGGCACAUUUUAUUAUAGGUGAUUUUGUGGUAUUCAUUUUCAUUUGUAAGUAAGAGGUCUUAAGUUCGAUUUUCAUCAAAAACGAAUUUAAACUAUAUUAUUGCUAGUCCAUUAUGAGGCCUAACCCACCCUCCUCCCCCUUAGUGUAGAUAGAUCGUUUGUUCAAAAAAAUAUAUAAUCAAAAUAGAAUGUGAAGCGAAACAAUAGAUCAACAUUAUUUAUGUUAAUUAUAAAUAGGUCAACCAUGUAUGUGAUACUUAAAUCAUUUAAAAUAAAAUAAAAAUUACAAAAUCUGCCAUUACAGCUGGCACACACUUUAAUUAACACUUUCUUUCUCAUAAUUUUUAUAUUUGGAAUAAGUCAUACGAAUCAAAUACUACAAUGUAUUAUCUGUUUUUUAAUUCUAUUUUUUACAUUUGGAUUCAGACACUGCGUUGUAGUGUCCAUUUACUGAUUUUGUUUUUUCCAUCACUCACAUGCCUCCUAUAUGUUCCUUUGUACAUUUGGAUUUAGACAAUGCAAUGCAGUGUCUGUUUCUUGGUUCUGGUUUUCUCUUUUGGAUUCAAACGCUGCAUUGCAAUGUAUGUUUCCUAGUCCUAUUUCUUUCAUCAUCCACACGUCUCCUACACUUCACACUUUCAUGCGACUCCUGAUUUUUACAUUUAGAUUCAGACAUUGUAAUGCAAUGUUCAUUUCCUACCUUUGAUUUUUACAUUUAAAUCUAGGGUUAAACUCUGUUUACUACCCUAAUGUUUCGUGGUUUUCUACAUUUAGUACAUCAAAUUUUUUUCAUCCCAGAGUCAUACCUAAAGUGUUAAUUUUGGGACAGUCUCAUACAUCCAUUAGUCAAACUGUUAGUUCUCACGUUAAGUGAUGAUGUGGCGCCCAUGUGGACAAUGACUGGGCCCCACGUGUCAUUAAAAAAUAUUAAAAUAAUUAAUUAUGUAACACCCGCCCCCACUUAUAAAAUUAUAUGUGUGUAAUAUUCCCUAAAUAUUCUGAAUCUAUCAAUUUUACCCUUUUUGGACUACCCUAUCAGGAUCUAAACAUUGGAUCCUUCUUUCUUUUCAAACUGCCACGUGGCAGCUCCCUAGCAAUUUCCCUGUCUUCUCUCUCUGUCCCCCCCCCGUGACUCCUUCUUUCUCUUCUUCUUUUUCUGUUUUCUUUUCUUUCUUCUGUCUGUCUCUCUGUCCCUCCCGACUCUAUCUCUUUCUCUCGUCUCUCUCUCAUAGCUCCCUCAUCUCUCUUCUCUGCAGCAACCCGCACGCACGCACCCAUCUCCCCCGCGCGAAGAAGACCCAUCUCCUUCUUCUCUCUCCCUCUGUCCCGUGCUGCGAGCCCAGAAACCGGAGAGGAACUCCGGCGAAACCUUUAUUUUCCCGGUUGGGACGAAUCGAAGCCGGGUGUAAGCACACCCAACUCCGGCGAUCCCGAGGGUGUCGGGGCUUUUUCCGGCCAUCUCCGAUCGUUCCACGACGAAAGGAAGGUGCAAUUAUUAACGGUGAUUCUGUUAUACCUUCUUGGUAUAGCUUUGCACCGUUGGUGUACGGUGAGUGGACCCCUUCAAAAUCAUGUUUUAACAAUAGAAAUGCAUACAUGAAAAGCAUGAUUUAAUACUUAUGUUUUACGAAGUACUUUAUGAGAUAUAUGCUUACUGAGGCUAGAUUGAAUUAUUACUAUUUUUCCUAUAACCCAUGUUCUUAUAGAAUAUCCGAUGGAUGACGAUAUGAUAUUAGAACAUGUUUAGAACACCUCUUUGUAGUAUAGAUGAUGGAUGACUUUAUACUACGAAGUUGUUUUUCAAUAUGUUAUGCUCAAUGGUUUUGUACUUACCUAGUGGUCCUUUCCGCUACGGGACGUAGGGAUAGAUUCCGGUCCGUCCCGAGCGACGGUUUGGUGUUGGCAUAGGGCCUGGAGUGUGUUUCCUCUGGCUAUUUAGCACAGGGACGGGGAGCCGGCAUGGGGUCUGUAGUGUAUUUUCCUCUGACUGUCUGCUCAGAGACGGGGAGCUGGCAUGGGGCCUGUAGAGUAUCGGACAAUUCACUAGUGUUUAUUACUUAUACAAGUUAUGAAUUUGAGAUAUUGCACGGCAUGCUAGGUUUCGGAAAAUCUAUUUUGAUCAUGAUAUAUGUGUUUUCAUUAAACCUGGGGGUUAGUAUGUUGAUAACUGUUUUAUUAUAUUUAUAUCAAACUGGUCCACUCAUGUUUGUUUUGCGCCCCCUUCAGGACCUACGAACGAGGAUUACGAUAUAAGCUACGAGGCUUUUCCCUAUCAGUGAUCCAGUGCUAUACUUCUUCUGCUUCGAUAUCUUUUGUAAUAUAGCACAUCUCUAUUUUAAAUUCUGUUUGUACUCUGUAAUAGAUGUAUGCUUUGACAUUAUGCGUGGAUCCUAAUGUUGUAAUUAGAAGUUGAAUUUGUAGUAUUAUUGUGGCUAGUCUUGCUGCCUGUUUUAGCUUAUUUGUGAGUUUUUACUUAAAUUAAUGGCUUUCGUCACCCUUUGGGUGUCGGCCAGCACGUGAUAAUCCCGAUGUCACGAGGACAUCGGGAUCGGGGCGUGUCAGAUUGGUAUCAGAGCAUGAUUCAUUCAGAGCAUACUUAGGAUUCUUUUCCACCAUUUGGUAAUUAUAAUUCCCCUUAUAUCCUUAAUUUUCUGUUGUUCUAAAUCUUUCUUGUUUCUUAUCAGAAUUAUGGAUCCCGCUGGUGGGCAUGUACCUCGUCGAGCUCGUUUUGGUAUAGGGGGAGGACUUGAGCAAUUGGCUAAUGUUUUGCGAACUGCCCUUACUGGUAGAUCAUCGAAUCGCACCUAUAUUGAGAUUGCUACCAGUCAUGGUAUUCCAGAGCUUAAGGUAGUGGGAGCCUGUCCGGAGGCUGAGGAAUGGUUAGAGCAGGUGGAAGAUACUCUGGAGGGUAUGAGAUGUCCACCAGGUGAGUGGGCGGAGACUGCUGGGUUUUUUCUUAAGGGUCCUGCAAAGAUUUGGUGGAAAGGAGUGAAGCAUUCUCGUCCACGAGGCACUUCGAUGACUUGGGUGGCAUUCCGGAAAGCUUUCAGUGCACAUUUUCUGAGUCCCAGUUAUCAGUUGAGGAUGAGACAACAAUUUCUGGAGUUUCGUCAAGGCGAUCUGAGUAUCACAGAGAUGGAUAAUACUUUUCGACGCCUGUCGAGACACCAUCCGGUGACUUAUGAUAACCCGAGUGAGAAGAUGGUUCAGUUGCUGGUUUGUUUGAACCCUGAUUAUCGUGAACGAGUGGCAGCUAUAAGGCACAGAAGUUAUGAGGAAAUGAUUGAGACUUGUUUGAGGAUUGAACAAUCUAGGUGGGAGACUCAGCACCAGGAGGAGCAGGCGCAGUAUCAGGAACCACCCAGAUAUCAGGAACAACCUCGGAACCAGAACCAGAGAGGUCAUGGUUUUAGAUCUCGGAGUGUGAGGAAAUCUGGUAGCUCUUCUAACUUUGUUGGCCCUAGACACUCUCAUUCCUUCAAACGUCAGGGUCAAGGUUCAGGUUCUUCCAGCGAGGGUUCGGGUAAUGAAUCAGGGAGGCGAUAUUUCAGUCAUUUUCGAUCGCAGGUUACGUGCCACAGGUGUGGAGGCAUGGGACAUAUUGCCAGAUUUUGCCCUUCAGGACAGCCUGCUGAGAGUUAUGCAUCGGUGCCGAGUUAUGGUGGAGGGAGUAAUCCGAGUUCUAGCUAUGGAGGUAAUUACACUCAGAGUUAUGGUGGAAGUGGAAGUGGAAGUCAGAAUACCCAAUUUUCCACUCAGAGACAGCCGCAACAGUUUGGUGCAGCUUCGAGUAGCCGCUCUCAGGGGAAUCGAGCAGGCCGUAAUAAUCAAGGUUUCAGAGCUCGUGGUAACCGUAACAGUGGUGGAGGACGUCAGUUUCAUGGACGUAUCAACGCCAUGACACAGCAGGAGGCUGAUCAGGAUCCUCAAGUCAUUACCGGUAUGUUACUUAUUUGUGGUAACUGGGCGAGGGUUCUAAUCGAUCCGAGUGCUACUUUUUCUUUUGUGUCUUCAUCUUUUGCACCGAAUUUAAAUGCACCACCUACACCUCUUGGUUAUGAUAUGCUUGUGCAAAUGCCGCAAGGGGAUCUGUUUUGUGCUCAGUGGGAGUAUAAAAGUUGCCCAGUGGUAGUGGAAGGGGAAAUGAUGGAGGCUAAUCUGGUCCCUUUUCAUUUGGCGGAGUUCGAUGUGAUUUUGGGGAUGGAUUGGCUAUCCAGGCACCGGGCCUAUGUCGCAUGUUGGGAGAAAUCUGUGACGUUCAAUCGACCUGGACGACCGUCAAUCACAUUUCAGGGUGAGCGACGAAUCCUUCCUAGUAGUAUUAUUUCCGCUAUUCAGGCUACUAGAUUGUUGAGUAGGGGAUGUGUGGGAUUCUUAGCUCAUGUAGUAACGAGGGAUAAAUCUUCGUUACGUCCUAAGGAUGUGCCAGUGGUGAAGCAUUACACCGAUGUUUUCCCGGAGGAUUUACCAGGGUUACCGCCUGCGAGGGAAAUUGAAUUUACCAUCGAUUUACUUCCAGGAACAGACCCUAUCUCUUUAGCACCUUAUCGCAUGGCACCGGCGGAGUUGAGGGAAUUGAAGGUUCAACUUCAGGAAUUGGUGGAUAAAGGUUACAUCCAACCCAGUAUGUCUCCCUGGGGUGCUCCUGUUUUAUUUGUUAAAAAGAAGGAUGGAUCGAUGAGACUUUGCAUCGACUAUCGGCAGUUAAACCGGGUGACGGUGAAGAAUCGAUAUCCUUUGCCUCGGAUCGACGAUCUGUUCGACCAGCUGAAGGGUGCUCAGAUAUUCUCUAAGAUAGAUCUUCGCUCAGGUUAUCACCAGUUGUUAAUUCGGGAGGGAGAUGUACCGAAGACUGCUUUCCGCACUAGGUAUGGACACUUUGAAUUUCGUGUCAUGCCUUUCGGACUGACGAAUGCACCUGCAGCAUUCAUGGAUUUGAUGAACAGAGUUUUCAGACCGUAUUUGGAUCGGUUUGUGAUUGUGUUCAUUGAUGAUAUUCUGAUCUUUUCCAAGAGUGUCAGCGAGCACAAGAAGCAUUUGAGGUUGGUGUUGGAAAGGUUGAGCAGUGAGCAGUUGUAUGCUAAGUUUAGCAAGUGUCAGUUCUGGCUAACCCAAAUUAGCUUUCUCGGUCAUGUAGUAUCUGCUGAGGGGAUUAGUGUGGAUCCUCAGAAGGUGUCAGCAAUAACUACGUGGGAGCAACCGAGGAAUGUUACUGAAGUGAGGAGUUUUCUAGGUCUGGCUGGCUAUUACCGAAGAUUUGUUAAAGGUUUCUCAGCCAUUGCCUUACCUCUGAAUAAGUUGACUCGAAAGGAAGUGGAGUUUAAGUGGGAUGAAGAUUGUGAGCGGAGUUUUCAGGAACUGAAGCGAUGUCUUACUCAAGCUCCCGUUCUUACUCUUCCAGACGAUAGCGGUGAGUUUGAUAUCUACACGGAUGCAUCAUUAUCAGGUUUGGGUUGUGUACUGAUGCAGCAUGAUAAAGUCAUUGAUUAUGCUUCCAGACAGCUCAAAAUUCACGAGAGAAACUAUCCCACUCAUGAUUUGGAACUUGGUGCAGUAGUGUUUGCUUUGAAGAUCUGGAGACAUUACUUGUACGGUGAGAAGUGUCGUAUCUUUACUGAUCAUAAGAGCCUCAAGUAUAUCUUUACUCAGAGGGAUUUGAAUUUGAGGCAGAGAAGAUGGAUGGAACUUAUCACUGAUUAUAACUGCACGAUCGAGUAUCAUCCCGGACAUGCCAAUGUAGUGGCAGAUGCACUUAGUCGGAAAUAUCAUGGAUAGCUUGCAUCUCUCCAAGCUAUUCAUGUUCCACUACUAUUUUCUCUUCGAGAAACAGGCUUGUCGGUGAGACCGGGUGAGCAAUGAGCGUGGUUGGCAAAUUUCCAAGUUAGACCUGUUUUGGUGGAUAUAGUCAUAGAAGCUCAGGAGCUUGAUCAGGAGAGUGCCAACAUUAAGGUCUCGGUGGAAAAAGGAGAAGAGAAGCAUUUUAUCAUCCGAAGUGAUGGAGCCUUGAUGUGGGAAAACAGAUUGUAUGUUCCUCAUGAUAACGAAGCAGUGAAAAGAGCAAUUCUGGAUGAAGCACAUUUGUCAGCUUAUGCCAUGCAUCCGGGAAGUACUAAACUGUAUCGCACUAUCCGUCUGUUCUAUUAUUGGUUGGGAAUGAAGCGGGAUGUGGCGGAUUAUGUGAGUAGAUGCAUCAUUUGUCAACAAGUAAAGGCAGAGAGGCAAAGACCUGGAGGAUUGAUGCAGAAUCUUCCGAUACCAGCAUGGAAAUGGGAAGACAUCACCAUGGAUUUUGUGUAUGGUCUGCCGAGGACGCGGUCGAGAUUGGACGGCAUAUGGGUAAUUGUUGAUCGACUGACUAAGACCGCUCAUUUCUUACCUGUUCGACAGACCUAUUCAAUGGAGAAAUUAUCGAAGUUGUUCAUCGAUAAUAUUGUUAGACUUCAUGGUGUACCUGUCUCUAUUGUUUCAGACAGAGAUCCCAGAUUUACUUCCAAAUUUUGGAAAGCUUUUAAUACUGCCAUGGGUACUCAGUUGCUGUUUAGUACUGCUUAUCAUCCACAGACUGACGGUCAGUCCGAGAGGACAAUACAAACAUUGGAGGACAUGUUGAGAGUGUCUGUUCUUCAGUGGAAGGGUAGUUGGGAUAACUAUCUGCCGUUGGUUGAAUUUGCAUACAACAACAGCUACCAUUCGAGUAUUGGUGUGGCACCUUAUGAAGCCUUGUAUGGGAGAGUGUGUCGAACGCCGUUGUGUUGGGCAGAGGUCGGCGAGCGAGUAUUGUUGGGACCGGAGAUUGUAGACACUACCAAUGAGAACAUCCAGCUGAUAAAGAGAAAUCUCAAGGCAGCUCAAGACCGACAGAAAAGCAUAGCGGACAAACAUUCCAAAGAUCGUGAGUACAAGAUUGGUGACUUUGUAUUCUUGAAGUUGUCUCCCUGGAAGGGUGUGGUUCGUUUUGGUAAACGAGGAAAGUUGAGUCCUCGAUAUGUUGGUCCUUAUCAGAUUACGGAGAGAAUUGGUGCAGUUGCCUAUAGAUUGGAGUUGCCACCGGAGUUGUCUCAGAUUCACAAUGUUUUCCAUAUUUCUAUGCUUCGGAAAUAUGUAUCAGAUCCCUCUCAUGUUAUUCAGCUAGAGCCGCUGGAAGUAAGUCCGGAUGUUAGUUAUGUUGAAGAACCAGUGGCUAUUCUUGACCAGCAGAAUAAAGUGUUGAGGAACAAGGUCAUUCCGUUGGUGAAAGUGUUGUGGAGGAACCACGCUACUGAAGAAGCGACGUGGGAAACGGAAGACCUGAUGAGGAGUCAGUAUCCGUAUUUAUUUGCUUGAAGUUGUAAUUUCGGGGACGAAAUUUUUAUAAGGGGGGUAGAUUGUAACACCCGCCCCCACUUAUAAAAUUAUAUGUGUGUAAUAUUCCCUAAAUAUUCUGAAUCUAUCAAUUUUACCCUUUUUGGACUACCCUAUCAGGAUCUAAACAUUGGAUCAUUCUUUCUUUUCAAACUGCCACGUGGCAGCUCCCUAGCAAUUUCCCUGUCUUCUCUCUUUGUCCCCCCCCCCGUGACUCCUUCUUUCUCUUCUUCUUUUUCUGUUUUCUUUUCUUUCUUCUGUCUGUCUCUCUGUCCCUCCCGACUCUAUCUCUUUCUCUCGUCUCUCUCUCAUAGCUCCCUCAUCUCUCUUCUCUGCAGCAACCCGCACGCACGCACCCGUCUCCCCCGCGCGAAGAAAACCCAUCUCCUUCUUCUCUCUCCCUCUGUCCCGUGCUGCGAGCCCGGAAACCGGAGAGGAACUCCGGCGAAACCUUUAUUUUCCCGGUUGGGACGAAUCGAAGCCGGGUGUAAGCACACCCAACUCCGGCGAUCCCGAGGGUGUCGGGGCUUUUUCCGGCCAUCUCCGAUCGUUCCACGACGAAAGGAAGGUGCAAUUAUUAACGGUGAUUCUGUUAUACCUUCUUGGUAUAGCUUUGCACCGUUGGUGUACGGUGAGUGGACCCCUUCAAAAUCAUGUUUAACAAUAGAAAUGCAUACAUGAAAAGCAUGAUUUAAUACUUAUGUUUUACGAAGUACUUUAUGAGAUAUAUGCUUACUGAGGCUAGAUUGAAUUAUUACUAUUUUUCCUAUAACCCAUGUUCUUAUAGAAUAUCCGAUGGAUGACGAUAUGAUAUUAGAACAUGUUUAGAACACCUCUUUGUAGUAUAGAUGAUGGAUGACUUUAUACUACGAAGUUGUUUUUCAAUAUGUUAUGCUCAAUGGUUUUGUACUUACCUAGUGGUCCUUUCCGCUACGGGACGUAGGGAUAGAUUCCGGUCCGUCCCGAGCGACGGUUUGGUGUUGGCAUAGGGCCUGGAGUGUGUUUCCUCUGGCUAUUUAGCACAGGGACGGGGAGCCGGCAUGGGGCCUGUAGUGUAUUUUCCUCUGACUGUCUGCUCAGAGACGGGGAGCUGGCAUGGGGCAUGUAGAGUAUCGGACAAUUCACUAAUGUUUAUUACUUAUACAAGUUAUGAAUUUGAGAUAUUGCACGGCAUGCUAGGUUUCGGAAAAUCUAUUUUGAUCAUGAUAUAUGUGUUUUCAUUAAACCUGGGGGUUAGUAUGUUGAUAACUGUUUUAUUAUAUUUAUAUCAAACUGGUCCACUCAUGUUUGUUUUGCGCCCCCUUCAGGACCUACGAACGAGGAUUACGAUAUAAGCUACGAGGCUUUUCCCUAUCAGUGAUCCAGUGCUAUACUUCUUCUGCUUCGAUAUCUUUUGUAAUAUAGCACAUCUCUAUUUUAAAUUCUGUUUGUACUCUGUAAUAGAUGUAUGCUCUGACAUUAUGCGUGGAUCCUAAUGUUGUAAUUAGAAGUUGAAUUUGUAGUAUUAUUGUGGCUAGUCUUGCUGCCUGUUUUAGCUUAUUUGUGAGUUUUUACUUAAAUUAAUGGCUUUCGUCACCCUUUGGGUGUCGGCCAGCACGUGAUCAUCCCGAUGUCACGAGGACAUCGGGAUCGGGGCGUGUCAAAUUAAAUAAAAGUUAUAAAAAAAAAACCGAAUCUGCAACCCAGAAGAAGAACCUUCUGGGUACGUGUUUGCAGUUGCGGGGCGAAUUCUAGAUCUUAAUUGGAUUAUUAGUUUCUGUUGUAAUAUGGUAGUUAGAAGAUUAAAAAAAACUAUGAUUUAUGCUUCAUAUGCUAACAAUUAACAGAUAAUUAAUGAAAUUUUUAAUUUUAAAUCUAAAUCCUAACAUAUUUUACAAUAGAAGCUUAAAUCUUAAUUUACUCAAUCACAUGGAUUAUUUUAUAACUACCUUACUAUUAAUUCAAUUAAACCUAUUAUUUCUACGAAAACUAACAAAAAUUUCAAAAAAAACUUUAGUUUUAAUGAAAAAAGAAAAAUGAAGAUUUGGUAAAUAAUACCAAAAAAAAAAUAAAAAUAUAAAUUUUCAUUAAAAAUGAACAGCAUCAAAAGUGUUUUAUUAAUACUCCAAUUAUUUAUUUACAAAUACGUGACUAAAUGAAAGGGAGCACUCAAAAUGAUGAAAAGCAGGAGCACCGAAGGCUAUCUCCGUUUCUUUGUUGAGUGGACAGCUGUCUCUUCGUCUUCUUUUGGCAGAUAGCUCCUAGUGGCCAGCCUAUAUUCCACAGCUGGUUAUAGGAUUCGGUUGCUAUAUAAGAAGUGUUUUGUUGUAAUUCAAUAUCGAUAGAAAUCCAAUAGGAUCUUUUUCAAAAUUUUGUGCGGAUUUUGGUAUGUUCGUAAAUCGUAUUUGUUCAUAUUAUACGCUCAUUUUUCAUGGAAUAUUAUUUUUGUUUAAUUUUAAAUAAAAUAAUUUAAAAUAAUUUUUUAUUGUAACAUGUACAAUGAACGGAUAUGAAUUGAUUCACAGAUCUUCAAAAUCCUUACAAAGAAAAUCCAAAAAUAAUCCGAAUUCAAUGGAGAUAAGUUAAUUUUGAAUCAAAUAACAUUAGGAAAAAAAAUUAACAUUAGACGGUUUUAAAUAAUUUAUUGUAUAUUUUUAGGGAAUUGUUAUUAGCACUUUAAAAAUCUCAUUUUACACUCCAAACUUUUUAUAUUAGAAAAGAAAAAUACACUUAUGAGGAAUGUAGAAUAAGAUUUUUGAAUUAACCAUGCAAAAAUGUAAUGUUAAAGCAUCAUGUCAUACAGACCUCUUCAAGGUACCAGAAAUUUUUGCACUAAAGAUGUCACAAGCAGCUGAUAUGAAGCUGCAUUUUCUGUGAGUUGAAAUUUUGUCAAUAUAAUCGAUCACCUGAAGAGAGAGAGAGAGAGAAAGACAGUGAUGUCCAGAGAUGUGAGCCUAAAUGCUGAGUGUGUAAAAAAAGAAGAUUAAAUGGAUAGCAAGAAUAUACAACUUUAAUGCUGAAAAGAACAUUGAAUAUGAUGCUCAUUCAUCAUUGCCAUUGAACGUGUACCUUCUUCUUUUCCUCUUUCUCAAAAGCAAGUAGAGCCUUGAAGACUUGCCUAUAUGAUCCAUCAUCACAACCAGGCAAAGUUGUUUUAAUCAUAGCAACAAUGGCUCUAACUAACUACCUGCCAUAAGAAACAUGCUACAUCAACAAGAUCACAGAGUGUACCAGAAACCGUAAUGUAGCAAAAUCUUAGAUAAAAUAGCUGGCCAAAAGGGAAUGGAAAAGCAAGCACAAAAAACAAUGAAAAGGACCAGUGAUGCCAAAAUUCUGGUGGAAAAGGUGAAAAGCUUAUGUCUAUUACAGUUCUUGUAUGCAUUCUUUAUAACUUAAGUUCUACGUAGCAAAAACCACCUUAUGCACAACAAUAUUGGAAAAAUUAGAUACAUACAACUGAGAAGAUAGGUUUUCAUAAUCUGGACAAGUGCUAACUACCUUCUUCCUAUAAACUGCCACUCCAUGAACAUUAAAUGGUAUUUUCCUUUCACGCAAGGCUGUCUGGAAGACUUUUCCUGAUACCUGUAGAAUAAAUUACAAAAGAAAAUGUGACCAAAAUGUCUUAUAUGAUUCACCUCAUUCACAUUAGCACUAAGGCAAGUAAGCUUGACCUGCCUCCGGUAAAGGAUUGCUAUAUUUCCAUAGGAGCACCCUGCUUCUGACCGUUUAGAUGCAGUCUCCAGGAUCUUGUCGACAACAAAGGCGCAUUGUGCAUCCUCAUUGUGACUUUCCUUGAUAAUUACCUACAUUUUGCCAGUAAAACCAGUGUCACUAACUAAAAGGACUGAAAAAUGACAUCAAAUUGUACUUGUUGGAGCAAGGAAAGAUUAAGUACCUUAGACCCAGAAGAAUUGUCCGUGUCAACAUUCUUUAGUUGGCAUCACUUCUUAUUGUUUUUUAUAACAGAAGAUGCAGCUUCCACACAAUAUAGCGUGUGGACCGAAAGUUCUUAUUAAGCCUAAUCUGAACCAUAAAGUUAUGUCAAAUCCCACAGAACCCCAUAAAAUAAAACUUACUUUCCUGUAAUUGUACAAUAUAUUUGUUCUAUACUAUAUAUAACGAAAAAAGACACCGUGAAUGACAUAAGAUAACAUAGCAGUCAAGUGCGAAGCGAACCUCUUUGUAAUUUGAAAAAUCUUUACGAAAAGAAUCAAAUCCAGAAAUGUCCGCCCCAUUGAAACUGAAAAUGGACUGCAGCAGGAUAUAUGUUAUUUGAUUUAGAACAGAUAAGGGCUGGAUUAGAAUGAGCUGAGAGAGGGAGAGAGGGAGAGACGGAGCAAUAACAUUGGAUUUCCAUAAUAAAUCAACAACAUGCCUGAUCAUCAUCACCAACAAUGGUUAUGUGGUUAUGAGAGGCGAGAAUCCGCAAAAGUCUAUAUUGCAUAGCACUUGUGUCUUGAAACUCGUCUAUUACAAUAGCUUUCCAUGACUCCUGGCACUCCUUCAACACUAAUUAAGAGAACACCAUGUAUCAACAUUUAGCAUUACUUGUAAAACUAGAUAAAUCAAUGAAAUAUACUUAGAUGAUAGAGACCUUCAGGAAAAUCACUUAGCAGCUUCACAGAGCAGCUAAUUAAGUCGUGGUAGUCCAAAGCGUUGCACGAUUUCAAGAUAUCAUUGUAAUUCCUAAGAAUUUCACCCUGAUUCAGAUUGAGAGCUAAAACUCAUAAGCAAUAGUUUCAAAGAACUGAAAUGAUAUCUGAAAUUCUAGUUCUGAGCGUACUCCUGUCACAUCACCCAUUCUUUGGCAUUCAGCGGGAGUUCUUUCCAGAAGCUUUUGCCUGAAACAUAAAUAAAUUUAUUGCCUAAUGCCACAUAUUGUAAGACACACCAUUGUAUUGGUCACUCUAGCUAAGCACAAUGAGCUUCAGUGGCAUACGGCGGUCACACAACACGCCGGAUGCACUCUUCCACUUCAUCCAUCCAGCUUGUAUUCUAUGGUUGAGAUCUCCAUCUAAUUCUCCGUUCUUUUGCAAAAUAGAUCCUAGGUAACGAAAACGGUCGCUCUUUGAUAUUUCUUGAUCUCCGAUCCUCACCCCUAAAUCGUUUUGGCCUCCAUUUGCACUGAACUUGCACUCCAUAUAUUCUGUCUUUGAUCGGCUUAGGCGAAAACCUUUAGAUUCCAACACUUCUCUCCAAAGGUUAAGCUUUGCAUUUACCCCUUCCUGAGUUUCAUCUAUCAACACUAUAUCGUCUGCGAAAAGCAUACACCAAGGAAUAUCACCUUGAAUAUGUCCUGUUAACUCAUCCAUUACCAACGCAAAAAAGGUAAGGACUUAAGGAUGAGCCUUGAUGUAAUCCUACAGUUAUGGGAAAGCUUUCGGUUUGUCCUUCAUGAGUUCUUACGGCAGUCUUUGCUCCUUCAUACAUAUCUUGUAUAGCUUGGAUAUAUGCUACUCGUACUCCUUUCUUCUCUAAAAUCCUCCAAAGAAUGUCUCUUGGGACCCUAUCAUACGCUUUUUCCAAAUCUAUAAAGACCAUGUGUAAAUCCUUUUUCCCAUCUCUAUAUCUUUCCAUCAAUCUUCGUAAGAGAUAGAUUGCCUCCAUGGUUGAGCGCCCUGGCAUGAACCCGAAUUGGUUGUCCGAAACCCGUCUCUUGCCUCAAUCUAUGCUCAAUGACUCUCUCCCAGAGCUUCAUUGUAUGACUCAUUAGCUUAAUACCACUAUAGUUCAUGCAAUUUUGUACAUCGCCCUUAUUCUUGUAGAUAGGCACCAAAGUGCUAAUUCGCCACUCAUUCGGCAUCUUCUUCGUUUUCAAAAUCCUAUUGAAAAGGUCAGUGAGCCAUGUUAUACCUGUCUCUCCCAAAACUUUCCACACUUCGAUUGGUAUAUUGUCUGGGCCUACUGCUUUUCUAUGUUUCAUCUUCUUCAAAGCUACAACCACUUAUUCCUUCCGGAUUCCACGAUAAAAAAAGUAGUUUCUACACUCUUCUGAGUUACUCAACUCCCCUAAAGAAGCACUCAUUUCAUGUCCUUCAUUGAAAAGAUUAUGAAAAUAACCUUUCCAUCUGUCUUUAACCGCGUUCUCUGUAGCAAGAACCUUUCCAUCCUCAUCCUUAAUGCACCUCACUUGGUUUAGGUCCCUUGUCUUCUUUUCCCUUACUCUAGCUAGUUUAUAGAUAUCCAACUCUCCUUCUUUGGUAUCUAGUCGCUUAUACAUAUCGUCAUAAGCCGCUAACUUAGCUUCUCUCACAGCUUUCUUCGCCUCUUGCUUCGCAUUUCUAUACCUUUCACCAUUUUCAUCGGUCCUAUCCUUGUAUAAGGUUUUACAACAUUCCUUCUUAGCCUUCACCUUUGCUUGUACCUCCUCAUUCCACCACCAAGAUUCCUUUUGGUGUGGGGCAAAGCCCUUGGACUCUCCUAAUACCUCUUUUGCUACUUUUCGGAUACAACUAGCCAUGGAAUCCCACAUUUGAUUAACUUCCCCCUCUCUAUCCCACACACACUGGGUGAUUACUUUCUCUUUGAAAAUGGCUUAUUUUUCUUCUUUUAGAUUCCACCAUCUAGUCCUUGGGCACUUCCAAGUCUUGUUCUUUUUUCUCACUCUUUUGAUAUGUACAUCCAUCACCAACAAGCGAUGUUGAUUAGCCACGCUCUCUCCUGGUAUAACUUUGCAAUCUUUACAAGUUAUACGAUCCCCUUUCCUCAUUAGAAGAAAAUAUAUUUGUGUUUUUGACGACCCACUCUUGUAGGUGAUCACAUGUUCUUCUCUCUUCUUAAAGAAGGUGUUGGCUAAGAAGAGAUCAUAUGCCAUUGCAAAAUCCAAGAUAGCUUCCCCAUCCUCGUUUCUCUCCCCAAAACCAUGGCCACCAUGAAAACCUCCAUAGUUGCCUGUCUCCCUGCCCACGUGUCCAUUUAAAUCUCCUCCUAUAAAUAACUUCUCCGUCUGAGCAAUUCCUUGCACCAAGUCUCCAAGGUCUUCCCAAAAUUUCUCCUUCGAACUCGUAUCCAACCCUACUUGAGGUGCGUACGCACUAAUCACAUUGAUAAGUUAUUGUCCUAUUACAAUCUUGAUUGCCAUGAUUCUAUCUCCUACCCUCUUGACAUCUACAACAUCUUGUGUCAAGGUCUUGUCCACGAUGAUGCCAACACCGUUUCUCGUUCUAUUUGUGCCCGAAUACCAUAGUUUAAACCCUGAGUUUCUAGAUAUAUAUAUAUAUAUAUAUAUAUAUCAAAUGGCCCCUAAAUGCUAUUAAAAAUCUCAAAAAUUAACAGGAAACUAAAACAAAUUAGAAUUUAUUCAUGGUUUCGCAAUUCCCAGCCGGGUAAACUGGUGGCCGUUGUAAGAGAGGGCCUCCAGCCGGAUAAACAUUUUCGAGUUAUAUGAUAUUUGUAUAGCAAAAAUACUUUAAUAGCAAGUGCGCGUGAGUGAAGAAAUUGAACUUACUUAUAUUCUUUCGAAUCCCAACCGGAAAAAUUGCAGGCUCUGGGAAGAGCGGACCUCCAGCUCUGCACCUCCUUCACGUCAACGUUAGAACGACCUUCAUGUUUAGCAAAAGCUUCUGCAAAACUUCCCUCGAGUUUACGAAUAUUGGACGGAUCGACUUGGUAGAAAAUGGGGAAUACAAUCUGGUUCUUGGAAUGGUUGCAUUCCAAGAUUUCCACGAGUUCUUUCAAGCACCAUGUGGAUGAAGCAUAGUUUUCAGAGAAAACUACAAUCGAAAUCCUUGACUCUCGAAUCGCUGUCAGGAGCUCGGAAAGGCGGUCGCCUUUUCUGAGGUCUUCGGCAUCAAUGAACGUGUUGAUUGGUUUCUGACGCAGAGCUUUGUAGAGAUGGCUGACGAAGCCCGUGCGAGUGUCUUCCCCUCUAAAAUUGAUGAACACAUCGUAUUCCCAACCAAGGCAAGAAGAAGAAGAAGAAGCAGCAAUUAAUCGAUCGCACCUGGGCAGCGAUGAUCGAGCAGCUUAAGACUAAGAGAAUUGUAAGUACAGAAACACUCAAUAGAUCUACAAAUUGGAUCACCAGAAAUUAGUCAAUGAGUCAAUGCAAAAGGGAAAAGGGCAAUUAUGCUUUUUGCGUUUUCACAUCUUCUUCAGGAAAUUUCGGUGUGAAAGGAAUCCGCAUACUUUUGAUUUUUCAACCCAAGAAAAUGCGAAGAAAGGGGACAAAGUAGUAAAUUUAAUCUACAGUUGCCUACCCAACAACCUCUUGAUUUAAUAUAUAUUUAAUUAGGAAAAGUAGUUUAGAGGAAGGAUGGUAUCUCCUUUUCUUCUCUCUCGAUCAGUCAAUCUUCCCGCGUGCGAUUUAAUCAUGAUUAAAGCUAAGCUUAAUCUUAGAUCGUAUUAUUUAGGUCUAAUUGGAUUCUUAAUUCUUGUUGUGAUAUAGUAGUUGGAAGAUUAAAAAAAAUUAUGAUUUAAAUGUUUGUGGUGAAGUCUGUUACGAUUUAGUUUCAAACUUGAAAAUUUCGUUAACUCCGUUAAUUAUUAGCACAUGAGACUCACAAAUGAAACUAAAAAUAUAAAGUUAGCCUCACAUGUAAUCUUCACGUGCUAACAAUUAAAAGAGAGUUCCGUUUUAGCUUAAUAUAUGUGACUCACGUGUUAAUAAUUAACGGAAUAUUAACAAAAAUUUUAAUUUUAAGCAUAAAUUCAAAUAAACUUCACCACAUAAGCUUAAAUUCUAAUUUAGAUAUCUUCUAACUAUCUUAUCACCAUAAAAAUUAUAAUCAAAUUAAACUUAUUAUUUAUUUAUAAAUGCGUAAUUAAAUCACAAAGUGUUGAAUGAAAGGGAGCACUCCAAAUGAUGAAAGAUGUGUGAUAUCCACACAUCUUUUUUUUUACUUUUUACACAUCGUUUUAAUUUUCGACUGUCGGAUCGAAUUAAUUGAAGAAAAUCAAAGGAUAAAAAUCAACAAAGGGUGUGCAAGAAGUAAAAAUGAGUGUGUGGAUAGUCAUCCCAUGAAAAGCGGGAGCAUCGAAAGCUAUCUCCGUUUCUUGUUGUCUAUUUGUCUUCUUUUGGCAGAUAGCUCCUAGGGACCGGCCUAUUUUCCACAGCUGGUUAUAGGACUCAGUUACUAUAGAAGGAGUGUUUUGUUGUAAUUCAAUAUCGAUGGAAAUCCAACAUAAUCUUUUUCAAAUUUUUGUGAGGAUUUUGGGGUGUACGUAAAUUGAUUAUGUUCAUCGUAUAUUAUGUGACCAUUUUUUAUCAAAUACUAUUUGUGUUUCAUUUUAAAUAAAAUAAUUUAAAAUAAUUUUUAACUGCAAGAUGUACAAUGAACGGAUAUAAUUCACAAAUCUCCAAAAUCCUUACAAAAAAAUCCGAAAAAGAUCCAAAUUCAAUGGAAAUAAGCUAAUUUUGAAUCAAAUUACAUUACUUUAUUUUGUAAAUAAAUUAAUUUUGAAUCGAACAACAUUCAUUUAUUAUGUAAGUAAUUCAUUUUGUAUGUAUCAUCAUAUAUAUUAGGCACAUUUUAUCAUAGGUGAUUUUGUGAAAAAUUAAUAAAAAGUUACAAUAUUAACAAUAGAUCAAUAAUAUUUAUGUUAAUUAUAAAUAGGUUAACCAUAUGUUGUGAUACUUAAAUACAUUUAAAAUAAAUAAAAAUUACAAAAUCUGACAUCCACUGCGACGUAGGAGCCACGGUGCAGCCCAAACUUUGCAGAUAAGAAAUCUGGUAAUUCACAGCAUGACAAACAAAUUACUGGGUCUCCUGACCAUCGUUGAUGCCAAUGUGUGCACAAGGAAAGGAGUAAGGUAAUCAAAUGCGUUAGUCUUGUGUACCUGUUUCGGUGUUGGUUUGGAUGAACCCAUUGAGUUCUCGAUCCUUAACUUCUGGAAAUGCUCCUGAAAGCAUAAAUAUAUGUACGGAUUUAAACCAAUGACAAAUGGACAUAAUUUACGGACAAUGAUUGAAGAAAAUACAGAUAUAAACGCCUCAGUAUUCCAUUGACGAAAGUUCUAGAUUUGAUGAAUCAAAAGUCCCACGUUGAGACUGCGUUAAGGCAAAUGGUUCUCAAAACCUGUUUUUCCCUCAUCAAAUGAGCGCGUUGAUCUGCAGGUAUUUUCUGCCAUCUCAAAACCUGUUACAAAGAAAUAUAACGUUGAUGUCGAGCUGGAUAGCAUAUUAUACCAAUUAUGUGUACAAACCUAUUGAAAUAAAGUAGCUGUAGUUGCAUAUUACGACAGAUAUUAACGAAAACAAAAGAAGGCUCGCCUAUUCAAGAUCCUAAAUCCCGUGAUUCUUUUGUUUUUAGUUUCAGAAAUUUUCAGAGCAAACUGGAAAGUACCAAGAUACUUACAUAUUGGGCAUAAUGAAAUGCAUCUUCAUCUUUCAAGCAAGAUUUGAGUGAGCGCAAACCGUCCUGAGAGUUACAUAAGUCAAUCAGUAAUAUAAAAACGUAGACGCAUCACAUCCAAACACAAGUAUUCAAACACCAACAACUUCUUCAUGCGGUGAGGCAUGUUAAAAAAUAGGGAAGAACAGUUAUUGAAUAGGAAGUUAAAGGACUAAAUUUAUGACCUUGUGUUUGUAGUUCUUGGCUCGUAUGCGUUCAUCUAUUACAAAACCAAUCUGUAACAGGUACAACAGAAAAUAUAAGCAGUAGUCAGAACAUUAAUCUUCGGCAUUCACAUUGCCACCAAUCCAAAGUUAAAAGUCUGAAGGCAAAACAGUAUGAUUCUUAUCUCUCAAACAAAAAUGAAACUAUACCCCGGUCUCAGACAUAAAUGAAAUAAGUUCUACUGCCUCAACUGAGUACUGUGAUUAUAUAUAAAUCCAAUUCACCUUGUCAAGUAAUCUCUUAGGAUCUUGAAAUGCUUCCUUCUUAGCCCAGUCAUUAAAUACAUGCGAGAAAAUUGAUCUCUCAUCCACACUGAAUCUAUUGCACAGUGACAGAAGAAUAAAGUUAAACAUGAACAUAACCAACCAAAAUGCUAGUUAUAAUAGUACACCCAUAAUUGCAAGCAAAACCUUUUUAAGAAGCCAUUUCCAUGGUUUUCCUCCCAAAUUCCAUCAAUUCUGCAGAGGCAACGUCAAAUUUACUAUGAUGGAGAUCAUUUUGCACUGUAAUAACUUCAGAAGGUAGGAGAUUUGGUUUCAGAUCAUCUGUUGACGGAGUAGUUUCUUUUGAAGUGUCAUGAUGCUUUUGAUUGCAAGCCUUCUGUACUUACGUCAGCCUACAAAACAAAAAUUGCAUUCAUCCACACUAGACUUAAUAAGAUUAGAAACACUUCAGAUUCUUCAUUAUUUGUAUUUUUGACUAAACAGCAGAACAACUGAGGAUAAUGAACAGUAAUACACACCUGGACUUCUCGUAGAUGAUUUGGAAUUUCUUUCAGAAAUCGCGAAGGUUGAAGCAUCUGAAGGAGUCACCUUCUCAGUCAGAGCAACAACAACAAAUAAGGAGGACAGGAAUUCAAGCUAAAACGAACCUGCCAACUGGAAUCCAUCGUAACAUAAAGAAUGAAAAGCUUUUUUCGAGCACGAGUCAUUGCAACAUAUAAUAGGCGUCUCUCCUCCUAUGAUUAGAGUGGGAUUAUUGAGUUAUUGACCAAAAGAAAAAAGAGUGGGAUUAUUGUGAAAAACAUGUCAAAGCUCUGCAUAUAACUGAAAAAUGUUGAACAAUUUACCACACACCUCAAUGGAGGUCCCAUUUUCUUUUGCAACCCCAUUGAAUUCAUGCAACAACGGGAUCUCAGAUUCAUUUACCUGUGUUAUUGGCAUGAGCAUUAAAGCAAGCUAAGAUGAUUUGAAGAGGUUGAUAUCGUCAUGAAUAUAGUAGAACAGAAUACCAAUUUCAAGCCAUCAAUUAGGUAUAGCAUUGGCAUGUUUAAUCCGUAAAUCUAAUGACAGAACACCUCAACUCUACACAUAAAUAAAUAAACAACCUGAAAAAUAUUACAGCCACAUGUUAAGGCAAAUACCUUAAUUAUGAAAACUAUAUCCCACUCUAAACCUUUUGACUGCAAGAGAAUGAAAAAGAAAGACAGUAAGCCAAGAAUGUUUUGUAGAACUCCAAAGGAAGUCCAAUAGGGAAAUCAUCGCAAGUAUAAGAGUUAGCGAGGUUCGCAUAAGAGGAUAUCAAAAAGAUCUAGAACCUGAUGAAUAGUAGUCAAAGUGACAGAACUUUGGUUGUCAUGUCUUCGGGAGUGAAAAUUUUCACUCUCCUGCUCAGAUAUGUAGUCGAUGAAAGCUUUGAGUAAAUUAACGCAGCCUUUUUCUUCUGCUACGACUUCUCUCUCCCCUUUUCCCGCAACAAAAUGAGUUGAUAAGAAAUCAGAUACGUCGUCUAGUAGGUACUGAAGAACCUGCAAUGAGAAUAAUCGCAUCACAGCAACAGGGUUGGACCAAGAUUUAAGUGACAACAAUGAUUAACUAACUAAAAUAGAGAAAUUAUUCAUUUAAGACCUUGUUGACGGAAAAAAGGGUUUUCCAAGCAGCGGGUCAUUUAAGCUUAUUGUAUAAAUGACAAUCAUCACAAACGGCAAACUUACAGAUCUCACGUCAUUGUCUUCAUUCAGCAGUUUUCCUCCAUCUACAUCAACGACUGCACGUUGCUCAAGACGGUACUUCUAAAAAUUGAAAGUCAACAACAACAACAACAACAACAACAAAGCCUUUUCCCACUAAGUGGGGUCGGCUAUAUGAAUCCUAGAACGCCAUUGCGCUCGGUUUUGUGUCAUGUCCUCCGUUAGAUCCAAGUACUCUAAGUCUUUUCUUAGAGUCUCUUCCAAAGUUGUCCUAGGUCUUCCUCUACCCCUUCGGCCCUGAACCUCUGUCCCGUAGUCACAUCUUCGAACCGGAGCGUUAGUCGGCCUUCUUUGCACAUGUUCAAAAUCACCGGAGCCGAUUUUCUCUCAUAUUUCCUACAAUUUCGGCUACUCCUACUUUACCUCGGAUAUCCUCAUUCCCAAUCUUAUCCUUUCUCGUGUGCCCACACAUCCCACGAAGCAUCCUCAUCUCCGCUACACCCAUUUUGUGUACGUGUUGAUGCUUCACCACCCAACAUUCUGUGCCAUACAACAUCGCUAGCCUUAUUGCCGUCCUAUAAAAUUUUCCCUUGAGCUUCAGUGGCCUACGACGGUCACACAACACGCCGGAUGCACUCUUUCCAUCCAGCUCGUAUUCUAUGGUUGAGAUCUCCAUCUAAUUCUCCGUUCUCUUGCAAGAUAGAUCCUAGGUAGCGAAAACGAUCGCUUUUUGUGAUCUUCGCUAGAUUUCUCCGGUCAUUAGUGUGGAUAAGUAUAUAAAUGGAUAGAGAUAGGAAAGCAAACACAAGAUGUACGUGGUUCACCCAGAUUGGCUACGUCCACGGAAUAGAAGAGUUCUCAUUAAUUGUGAAGGGUUUACACAAGUACAUAGGUUCAAGCUUUCAUUUAGUGAGUACAAGUGAAUGAUUUUAGUACAAAUGACAUUAGGAAAUAUUGUGGGAGAAUGAUCUCGUAAUCACGAAACUUCUAAGUAUCGGAGUGUGGUGUCGUCUUGACUUGCCUUAUCUGUCUCAUAGGUAGAUGUGGCAUCUUCUCUGGAAGUACUCUUCCUCAAACGAUAAAUUAUUAAGAAGCAUUGAAUAUAAGCAUGAAACGAAGAAAAUGUUAUGGAAUGGUGAUCCUCAUCCUCAAAGAUGAUUAAAAGCAAUUUGAUUCAAAAAUGACAUAUCAACUCUGGAGAAAUGGAAGACAAACCUGUGGUACCAUAUUCGCAACUGAGGUUAUGACAGCUGAAAUCGAUUGUUCCUGUGUGCAUUGAUAAGUGAGACUACCAUAGAGAUUCACAACUAAAUAAAGACAGGUAUUCCACAGAACAACCUUUACCUCUUUGGAAACACAGAUCUAACAAAAACUAUAACAUUUUGGAUUAAUAUUGACAAAUCAAGAAUAAUGCAAGGGAGCAAGAGAUACUCUUCCUUCUAAUAACAAGGAGGCGUGAAAAGUAUACAGAGUUCCAACAAUUAGAGAACUAAAAUCAAACUAAAAAAAUCACCAAAGUAGACAGAAUCUCACUUCGCCAAAAAUUUGAAAAUAUACCUUUUUAUCCAUUGAGAUUCAUGAACUACUACUACUACAUCAUGCCAAUAAGCAAUGCGUAAGAGGAGCUACAAUUUACCGAAUAUAUUUACCCUGAGAACAAGUUUUGAAAUCAUCUCUAGUGUUAACAGCACCUUGCGUCCUUGGGUAAGCUGAGUCCUAUUAUCAAGUAAAGAGACCAAUCAGUACAUAUCCAAAAGAUCUUAAAUGCUUGUAAUACCAAAUAAGAAAGAAACAUGAGUAUAUCUUGAAUUAACCAUGCAAAAAUGUAAUGUUAAAGCAUCUUGUCAUACAGACCUCUUCAAGGUACCAGAAAUUUUUGCACUAAAGAUGUCACAAGCAGCUGAUAUGAAGCUGCAUUUUCUGUGAGUUGAAAUUUUGUCAAUAUAAUCGAUCACCUGAAGAGAGAGAGAGAGAAAAAGACAGUGAUAUCCAGAGAUGUGAGCCUAAAUGCUGAGUGUGUAAAAAAAGAAGAUUAAAUGGAUAGCAAGAAUAUACAACUUUAAUGCUGAAAAGAACAUUGAAUAUGAUGCUCAUUCAUCAUUCCCAUUGAACGUGUACCUUCUUCUUUUCCUCUUUCUCAAAAGCAAGUAGAGCCUUGAAGACUUGCCUAUAUGAUCCAUCAUCACAACCAGGCAAAGUUGUUUUAAUCAUAGCAACAAUGGCUCUAACUACCUGCCAUAAGAAACAUGCUACAUCAACAAGAUCACAGAGUGUACCAGAAACCGUAAUGUAGCAAAAUCUUGGAUAAAAUAGCUGGCCAAAAGGGAAUGGAAAAGCAAGCAUGAAAAACAAUGAAAAGGACCAGUGAUGCCAAAAUUCUGGUGGAAAAGGUGAAAAGCUUCUGUCUAUUACAGUUCUUGUAUGCAUUCUUUAUAACUUAAGUUCUACGUAGCAAAAACCACCUUAUGCACAACAAUAUUGGAAAAAUUAGAUACAUACAACUGAGAAGAUAGGUUUUCAUAAUCUGGACAAGUGCUAACUACUUUCUUCCUAUAAACUGCCACUCCAUGAACAUUAAAUGGUAUUUUCCUUUCACGCAAGGCUGUCUGGAAGACUUUUCCUGAUACCUGUAGCAUAAAAUACAAAAGAAAAUGUGACCAAAAUGUCUUAUAUGAUUCACCUCAUUCACAUUAGCACUAAGGCAAGUAAGCUUGACCUGCCUCCGGUAAAGGAUUGCUAUAUUUCCAUAGGAGCACCCUGCUUCUGACCGUUUAGAUGCAGUCUCCAGGAUCUUGUCGACAACAAAGGCGCAUUGUGCAUCCUCAUUGUGACUUUCCUUGAUAAUUACCUACAUUUUGCCAGUAAAACCAGUGUCACUAACUAUAAGGACUGAAAAAUGACAUCAAAUUGUACUUGUUGGAGCAAGGAAAGAUUAAGUACCUUAGACCCAGAAGAAUUGUCCAUGUCAACAUUCUUUAGUUGGCAUUGCUUCUUAUUGUUUUUUAUAACAGAAGUUGCAGCUUCCACAAUAUAGCGUGUGGACCGAAAGUUUUUAUUAAGCCUAAUCUGAACCAUAAAGUUAUGUCAAAUCCCACAGAACCUCGUAAAAUAAAACUUACUUUCCUGUAAUUGUACAAUAUAUUUUUUCUGUACUAUAUAUAAUGAAAAAAGACACUGAAUGACAUAAGAUAACAUAGCAGUCAAGUGCGAAGCGAACCUCUUUGUAAUUUGAAAAAUCUUUACGAAAAGAAUCAAAUCCAGAAAUGUCCGCCCCAUUGAAACUGAAAAUGGACUGCAGCAGGAUAUAUGUUAUUUGAUUUAAAACAGAUAAGGGCUGGAUUAGAAUGAGCUGAGAGAGAGAGAGAGAGAGGGAGAGAGGGAGAGAGGGAGAGAGGGAGAGAGGGAGCAAUAACAUUGGAUUUCCAUAACAAAUCAACAACAUGCCUGAUCAUCAUCACCAACAAUGGUUAUGUGGUUAUGAGAGGCGAGAAUCCGCAAAAGACUAUAUUGCAUAGCACUUGUGUCUUGAAACUCGUCUAUUACAGUAGCUUUCCAUGACUCCUGGCACUCCUUCAACACUAAUUAAGAGAACACCAUGUAUCAACAUUUAGCAUUACUUGUAAAACUAGAUAAAUCAAUGAAAUAUACUUAGAUGAUAGAGACCUUCAGGAAAAUCACUUAGCAGCUUCACAGAGCAGCUAAUUAAGUCGUGGUAGUCCAAAGCAUUGCACGAUUUCAAGAUAUCAUUGUAAUUCCUAAGAAUUUCACCCUGAUUCAGAUUGAGAGCUAAAACUCAUAAGCAAUAGUUUCAAAGAACUGAAAUGAUAUCUGAAAUUCUAGUUCUGAGCGUACUCCUGUCACAUCACCCAUUCUUCGGCAUUCAGCCGGAGUCUUUCCAGAAGCCUUUGCCUGAAACAUAAAUAAAUUUAUUGCCUAAUGCCACAUAUUGUAAGACACACCAUUGUAUUGGUCAUUCUAGCUUGAUUGUAGCUAAUAUUUUUUAAAUCGAAUGAUUAGAGUUCUUAAUCCACAAUAAUCUGAACAUUAAAUUUGGUAUUCAAGACUAACCUGUGUCACCAACUACAGCCAUUUCCUUGAUGCAUCCUUAAAAUGAUGUGGAGAUGUUACGCCGUUAGACUCUUCCCCAUCUAUAGCAACAUUAAGAUUCGUUUACUCUUUUCAUCUUCUGAUAACCGCACAGCUUCAAUGAUUGCUCUUCUCUGUUGCCCAUGUCCAUAUAUCAAAAAUUCUGGUCUGCGCUCGAGUCUAAAACACAAGCCAACAUAACAGACUCAGCUAUACCACCAAAUGUAUGGUGUUCAAAAUCAAGGGAGGUGAAUCAAUAGCUUACUUCUCAGCAUGUGAUCGGCAAAGUUGCAAUGAAAAUGAAUGAAAUGUACUGAUUGUUAGUAGUUUUGCCGUUGCUUUCCCAGUCACAGAUCCAAUUCGAUCUCUCAUCUCGGAAGCUGCUGCUGUAGUGAAAGUCAUUGCUAGAAUGUUCGACGUGCUAAUGCCCUAAGAACACAAAAAAAAAAAAAAAAACGUAUAAGAUUUCGAUCAUAAACAAGAAAUGUAGAGAAACACACAAUUACGAAAGAAAAAGUUAGAGGGAAAGUAGCAACACCUCAUUGAGCAGCAUUAGAACGCGCCCAACUAUCGUUGAAGUCUUUCCACUUCCAGGGCCGGCAACAAUCAUCAAAGGUACUGAAAUAUCGCUGCAAGCUGCCUCGCGCUGCCUUUCGUUGAGAGAAAGCAAAUACUUCAAUACUCAUCCGGCAUGUUAGGCAAUCCAUGGUUAACAGAAUCUUUUUGGUUUUCACUACUCAAAGGUGGCGCUGAUGCGGCACUAACGUCACUACCACAACUCCCAAUAUCAUCACGCUGAAUGUCCACACUCGGUUUCUGCUCGAUUAAAGCGUCAAUUUCCUGCAAAAUACUCUCGUCGAAAUCAUCAUCGUUAAGAAUUCCAGAUGCAGAGAAAGAAUCAAAUGAAGUCAGAAACUGCGGUUGUCUGAUUGGAGUUGUGAAAGAAUCCGAUUUUGACACGCUUGAUUCGGUCCGGCUAACGCUUAAGCUCCCGGAACACGAAGCACUGCCAUAUUCACCACGCGUUGAAUUGUACCGGCUUGCGGAAAUCGGAGGCGGUGUUCUUUGAACUCUAUUGAGCUGAGUUGGCGUUUGGAUUCCAUUUCCGCCACAGAUUCUGGAAUUUGAAAAACACAAUUGAAUUGAUUUAAAUUGAAGCAAGAAAACAGCCGAGUAGCAAAAAAAUAGUAAGAAGAUGAAACCUUUGAUUCCUGAACGACUUACUUGGUAUGAGGGAGGUGAUGAUCAGGUGAAACGGCGUCGUUGCGGGGGCGUUUGCGAUCAAUGAGGGCCUUGGCGGCUCUGAAAUUCCGAGAGAUGCGGUUUCUUUGUUCCGCCGUGAGCCCUCCGCCGUACGCCUGAACGUUUUCCUUGGACAUUGCUUCGAAGAUUCCAACGGAGGAUUUGGCCUGACGGCCUGACCAGGCUGAUAACAGUGUAAAACCUUAGGAGCUAAGGAAAACUAAGAGAUAGAUCGUAGAGAGGGAAAGUUUUUUCUUUUUGGAAACUAGUAGGGAGGGAAAGUUUGUUAAACCUGAAUAAUAUUCUUUUCAUUCAACUUGUCUACAAUAAUUACCACUCUUGGUAUUUAUACAUUUCUAACACACCUCACUAACUAACUAAGACCACUACCAAUCAUACAAAAAUAAUUGUCCUUUGAUGAACUCUUUCACGAACAAAGUGGCAAUCAAUCUCUACAUGUUUGGCUUUAGAGUGCAAUACAGGUUUAGUGGCAAGAGCCAUUGCUUAAAUGUUAUCACAAUGCAAAACUGGAACAGAAGGAGAACCAACAUGCAAAUCUCGAAGAAGAUGUUGUAUCCAGAUAACCUUAGCAGUGGUUGUAGCCAUUGCUCUAUAUUCAGCUUCAGUGGAAGACCCACUCACUGUAUGCUGCUUUUUAGAACUCAAAGAGAUAGGAGUGACAAAACCCAUGGUUGAACGACGAUCAUUGUGAUCCCCUGCCCAAUCAGCAUAUGUAUGAGCUUUCAACUAAGAUGAACCUGAUUUAAAACACAAUCCCAGAGACAUAGUGCCUCUGAGAUAUCGCAGAAUACGUUUCACAGCAGCAAAUGAGUGGCUAAUGGUGAAUGCAUAAACUGACAUACUUGAUUGACGGAAAAAGAAAUAUCUGGUCUUGUAAAUGUUACGUAUUGUAGUGCCCCAACAAUACUUUUGUAAGUGGUAGGAUCAGAAACAGGUUCACUACCAUGAUUCAGAAGCUUUUGAUUAGGAUGACAAGGUGUGGAAAAAGGUUUACAGUCCAGCAUAUGCAUCUUUUGAAUGAGUUCUUUGACACACUUGGUCUGAUGAACAAAGAGUCCCUGUUCUUGAUAUUCAAUCUGUAAACCAAGAAAAUAAUGCAACACACCCAGAUCUUUCAUGUCAAACUCACUAGUUAACUGACUAAUAACAUUCUGAACCUUCACAGCAUCAUUACUAGUGGGAAUGAUAUUAUCAACAUGUAAUAAGAGAACAAUAAUUGAUGAACCAUCACACUUGACAAAUAAAGAAGGAUCUGCAUAUGAUGACUUGAACCCAAGCUUAGGCAAAUAACCUGAAAACCUGUCAUGUUAGGCUCUGGGAGCUUGCUUGAGUCCAUAUAAAGACCUCUCUAGUUUGCACACAUAAUCCGGAUAGGUAGAAUCCACAAACCCUUGGGGCUGAGACAUAAAAACUUCUUCCUCAAGAAAGCCAUGCAAAAAAGCGUUCUUGACAUCUAACUGUUUGAGUUUCCAAUUAUGAGAUGCAGCCAAGGAUAGAACCAAUCGAACUAUGUUUGGUUUGACCACAGGGCUAAAGGUUUCAUAAUAGUUAAUACCAACUUCUUAAGAAUACCCCUUAGCUACAAGUCUAGCCUUGUACCUAGCCACUAAACCAUCUGGAUUUCUCUUAAUCUUGUAGAUCCAUUUACAACUAACAAGAUUUUUGUCAGGUGGUAAGGGCACAAGCCUCCAAGUAUGAUGUUGAAUCAAAGCAUCCAUCUAUUCUUUCAUGGCAUUUUGCCAUUAAACACACUUGACAAUACUAGAAAAAGACUGAGGUUCCUUGAUUUCAGAAGCCUGAUCCACCUUAGCAGAAAACACCUUCUUUUUCAUAAUCCUAGACUUAGACCGGGUUUGCAUGGGAUGACAAUUUUGAGCAUUGAUACACACUGGUUGGAGAUCAUCCACUUGAGACAUUGUAGUAUUUGGAUGAUCUUUUGAAUACACAGUAGGCAAAACCUCUGAAGAAGGCACAAAACUUGUGGAAGAAGAGACAAGAUCACCAGAACUAGUGGGUUGAGAGGAUGAUGACUGAGUAACAUGUUGUGAUUUAGAGGUAAGAGAAGUGGGACCAAUAAAUGGAAAUGUGGAAGAAACACUAGGUGGAUGAAUGAAUGUGUUUGAAUGCACAACAGACAUUGGUGAGGAAGAAUGACCAGAAGUAACUUGAGGAUUGAAACCCAAAGCAUUAGAGUCUGUAGGAAACUUGGAUUCAUCAAAAAUAACAUGUCUAGAUACUAACAGUUUCUGAUCUUUGAGAGAUAAGCAAAUAUACCCUUUGUAUUGUGUAGCAUACCCCAGAAAAAUACACUUAGUAGUUUUAGGUUCAAGUUUAUUGCUUCUAUAGGGUUUCAAUGAAUGAUAGCAUAAACAACAAAAAAUUCUCAAAUGAUCAAGCUUAGGUGGAGAUUUAUAUAGCAUUUCAAAAGGAGACUACAUAUGUAGGGUAGGUGUGGGCAUUCUGUUUAUAAGAAAAGUAGCAGUGGCACACGAAUGGAACUAGAAUUUUGAAGGUUGAAACUUGUUGUAAAAAGGUAAUAGCUGUUUCGACAAUAUGUUGAUUUUUUCUCUCAGCCAACCCAUUAUGUUAUGGGGUAUAAGGACAAGAUUUUUGAUGAACAAUGCCUUUGGUAAGAAGAAAUUGCUUAAACUGAGUAUUAACAUAUUCCCCACCCCCAUCACUUUGCAAAAUUUUUACAUAAGCAUCAAAAUAAUUCGAGACAAAAGCAAGAAAGUUGACAAAACAGUGAGGGACCCCAAACAUCUAUGUGAAUUACUUCAAAUGGAGUAAGUGACUUCGAAGCAAUUACAGGAAAAAUGGAGCUUGGUAAAAUUUGCCUUGCAAACAAGCUUUACAAGUAUGAGAUUGAGAGUUACAAGGAAAAGAUAUACAAGACUUAUUAAGUGCUGCAGUGACAAUGGAAUGUGCAGGAUGGCCUAAUCGACAAUGCCACAAUGUAGAAUACAUCUUUUGACCCACAAAUGCAAUUGGAUUAAAAACAGGAGAAAUAGACCUAUGUGGUUUGAUUAUGGGAAGUGGAUAGACAACAUUAUUACUCAGCCCUUGGAAUAGCACUUUCCCGGUGACCUUGUCUUGUAGAUAGAGAGAAACAUCAUCAAUGAUACAAUGACACUGAUUAUCUUUGCACAACUGAUUCAUAGAUAAUAAGUGUUGUGACAGUUUUGGAACAUGUAACACAAAGUUUAACUUGAAAUUAUGUGACUUAGUGAGAAGAGAAGAGGAACCAAUAUGUUUGAUAGCUAAACCUUCACCACUAGCACUGGUCACAGUAUCAUUUGAUGGAUAAAUUUGUUGCCAUGUGCAAGUUUGACAAAUCUGAGGUCAUAUGGUUAGUUGCUCCCAAGUCAAGAAACCAUAAAUCUUGUUGAAGAGUUGAGGAUGAUGCACCAGCUCGUGCUUGUAUAGCAAGAGGAGGAUUUUGUGAGGAUAUAGUUGAGAGAUACAUAUGUGGUAUGACAUGAUACUGAAACUGGGAGCUAUUAGACCGUGGAAUCAUGCCUUGUGAAGGACCACAUGGAUUCUAGCUAGGUGCUUCGCCAUAUGACCCAGCAGGCAUUGGAGUUGGCAUAGAUGAGGAUAAACCCUGAGAGAAAUGCUUUGAUGUGCCUGUGAAAUUCUUAUUUCGAUCAAAGCAAGUAGCAGCAACAUGGCAAUUUCUGUGACAAAUUUGACAUCCAUGUUGAAAACAAUUCAAUGCAAAAUAAACUUUGCGAUCACAUAUUUGCAGAAAGGCCUUUGCAACCCUAGAAAGAAGAAGGAGCAAAGAAGACCAAAUGUGUACGUUUCUCUUUGGUUUUUUUUCCCUCUUAAUCACGCUGUUCGAAAUCACGGACCUCGGGCCUGGGCCUAGUGGGCCCAAUUAUGAGGCCCAUUAUCUCCGGUCUUCUCGUUCUACUUCUAGUUACCCAAAUUAAGAACGUACUGGUUCGCUUUUAGCGCGAGAGAGAAAUGGAGGCCCUGAUUGCCUCGUACGGAGACUCGUCGUCGGGCUCAGACUCCGAGUCGCCGGCUCCACCUCCAUCACCACCUCCGGAGCUCAACAACCCUCAAGAACCGACCCCUGCGCUGCCUCCACCUCCUCUGUCACUUCUCGACAACCCCAAUUCCUUCGGUAACCUCUGAUUCCCAUCAAUUUUCAUCUUUUAGCUUUCUGUUGUGAUGGCUUUUUCCGAGUUGCCCACCAAGUAUUUGAUGUUUUGCCUCUGAAGGAUUUCUGGACUUCUCGGCAAGCGCCCAGCCGAGCAGAGUUCGGAACUUUCCUCACGUCGAAGGGAACUACGCAGUACAUGUAUACAUCCCAGGUUAUCAAAAUUCUCGAAAUUUUCAGCUCCAUUAGCAAAUGCGAUCGCUUUGCACUUAGUUUUUGCUUGUUUAAUUCUGUGGUCAGUUUAUAUACCACCAGCACCAAGGAAAGAGAUGGCCUUGUUUUUGAACAAGCUAGCUUCUCUGGUGCCUGGUCUCCAUGCGGUUGACGUUGACUUCCUGCUUGACAUUCUGCGUAAGGACGAGCACAAGCUUGAACAAGUUGCUUUAGGCAGAGAGUUCCAUAUAAGUCUCGGAAGAACUGUUCCGAUUCGGGUGCACCAGAUUGAUUCCUUGGUGACAAUGCUGCGGCAGAAGCUUCAGAUUCAGAGGCGGUAUGGUUACAUUUACAUUCUCUUGUCUGCAUUGCGUGAAUUUAGUUCUGUUAUUUAACAUAAUUCUGUAAGCCUGCAAAUUUUUCGUCCAUUUUCAGUUUAACACAUUUUGUUAUUGUGAAACAAGUAUUGGAUUGAUUUUAGCAAGUGGUAGGUUUUUGUUAAUGAUGAUCAGACCCGGACCUUUGUGUCUAUCGAAAUCAUUGCUGCUGGGUUAGCUGAGGUAUGAUUGCUAGCUUUCUCUCUUGGUGCAAUUCUAAAUGUUUUCAGUUGUUAUAUGGGCUUAAGAUUUAGCAAGGACUUGCCGAAAGUCAUGGGAUUUUGAAAUAUCGAGAUCUUGCUUGCUUAUUAGCUUAGAUUUGGUCUUCGAUGCACUUGUAACAUGAAAAACACAAACGAAAACUAAUGCAUGAUAUGCUCAUGGUUUUAACAUGUGUUGUCCUGGCGUAAAUCAUGUUCCUAAUCAUGUCAUGUGAGUAUAAGCCUAUGAAACUUAGGGCAUGUUUGGCGGGCUGGACAAGAUUGGAAUUGGUAUUUCAGACUAGUUAGGUUAGGAUUGAACUGGAUAGGAUAGGUUUUUUGUCUAAAGAUUGGUGUAGACUGUCUUAACCAGACUAGGAACGAUGGGAUUUAAAACGUGAAACAGAUCGGCGACAUCCCAACGAUGACCCGCCCACCCAACAACUCUGCUCGUGACUUGCAACACCUCUCGUACCCUCCACGCCCCUUGCGGCCCGUCAGACCACUCUGAUAUCCUGGAGGAGUGAAACGUGGUUACUAGAAGCAUACCUGUUUUCGUAUUAAUGCACGGUUGAAUCAGCUUUCAUUGUCUACAAGUCUGAAAUAUUUUAACUUCCAUUGAUUUCAGAUAACAAAGCAGAUUCAAGCUGUGAAUGAGGUGUAUAAGCUUCACAAUCAUCCUAAAUUUUACAAGGUUAGCUUUUUCGUCCUUUUCAAACUCGAAUCGCUUCCUGAAUAUAUGACAAUAUAUUGGAUCAAAUGAUUUCUCAAAAAACUAAUUCACUUGAUGGGGUCUUGGUGAUCACAGGAUCCACGCCCUCACAUCUCGGUAGCUUGGGCAUUGGGUGACAUCAGCAAUUCCCUGAACAAAGUGGUUGAAGAAGAAAGACGAAGAUCUACCAUCGGAGGAUCGUUACAGAAAUGUAUUUUUACCAGUAAAUUCAAUGGUAUCGAAUGUAGGAUUGGUAAUAAGACACACAAAAUAUGUAAAUUUUCUGAAGAAUAAUGUAGCCAUUUAACUGUAUUGUGAAAUUCCGAGAAUAUAUCACUGAGCAUUGGAUGAGAAGACAUUUCUUCGUUGGUGUCGAACUUCUUGUCGAAGGUAUUGGCACCAGUGUAAACGUCAUCAUCCAUGUUGAUGGUAAUUACUUCCCAGCUACUAAGGGUGUCGGAACAGCCUUGCACGCAGCCUCCUGUGCAUUACUUGGUAUUGUCUCAGAUUCUCCAAACUUGAAUGCUAAUGUAAACCCACUCUUGACCUUUCCGUCAUCUGCGAUUACCGGAAUGCCGGCUUGGAUGUUGCCGUUGACCUACCGAACUUAAAAUACCGACGAAAUGUUGGAGUACUUAAGUGUACUACUCGUUUUUGUAUGCGAGAGCUCCACCUCUAUCGUUGUAACAGCAUCUGAUGCGGACUAGUCCUUCAUUCCCGUUACUCUUUGCCAUCUCCACUUCGAACUUGGCGUGAUGGCUCCCGGCCUCCUCUCCGGUGAAAUUGAGUAACCCCGGAGCUGGCGUGCCAUCAAGAUUUCCGUCGUGUCUCUAUUUGCUGUUGUGGUUUGGUUUCACCACUAUAAACUUGGCAGAGUUGGCAUUUUCAUUCUGUUGUCUGUAUAUCUUGAUAUUACAAGUAUUUGUUGUGCAAAAUGCAUGCUAAGUUCAACUUAUGUUUAUAUGUGUGUGUGUGUGUGUUGCCACUUUUCCAACGUUUUCUCCAAAAUUGUGACGAGCAACAAAGCAGUUUUGAUUCCGUGCACAACAACGAUACCUCGAAAGAAAUUGAUUCUUCCCCAGAAAGAUGUUUUAAAACAAAGUUGAACAAGGGAAGAAAACUUUUGAAUCGCAAUCAGAUGUCUGGUCAAAUUCUUUAACAGUUGAUGUAUACAGAAGUUCCUUGCUUAUGACACGACUUAUGAGAGGAUGUAUGUAUUGCAUUUGCAUCAAAAGAAAGAAAGAAGGUUGUAAGUGGUAAGGGAACGACUACCGAUGCCGCUCCACUUCUAAUCAAAGGGAUCGAUCCGAGGGUCGUGUUCACUUGCCAUCGCCAUUCCAGUGCAAAGGCAUGUCGGGCACAUUACCUGCCACAUUUACAGACGCAAUGUUAGAUAUAGCUGCCAUUUGGAAGUCAUCUCUCAAAAUUUUGCUACUAAAUCAAUCUUAAACUUCAUUUCCAGUGCAAUUUUUUUCUUCUGAAUUGUCUUUCACAUGCCCGACAAAUAGAAGUAUCACCAAACAUGUGAAUAUAGAGCAUCUAAGCGGCAGGCACUAAAAGGAAUUUAGUAUGCAAUAAACAUUCAACGGACAUAAUUAUAUGUCUAACCUUUCCCGCUCCUGAGCAAUUUGAACAUCGUUCAGUUUUUGGCAGAGAUAGGGGUUGGUUUCCGCCAUCAGCUGUCGAUACUGGUUCAGUAAGAACAAGGGUUCCAGUGCUGGAGCAACGAGCACAAGCAAGAGAUCCUGCGUAAGUAUCAAAUACACAGGUAAGUUGACAUACGAAACCAAUCCGAACAUCUCCAUCGUAUAUAUUUAAAGCUACAGUACAUAAACUAAAAGUCAGAAAUAUAGGACAUUAUCACACCAGUUCCAAGACAAUAUUUGCAUCGUUUAUGCUCCUGCUGUUUCACAUUGUUUAUUUCAACUACCAUCAAUGCUGAGAUCACUCCGACUGCUCCUCCAGAGAAUGACGCCACUAUGGGAUCAACUUGACUGCAGUUUGAAAGUAAAGGAGAUCAAUAAACGAAACUGGUAACAACAUAGUAUCAACAUUAUUUAGCUUCGUUUCAAGAAAGAUGACAUCCUAGGUUUUUCUAAUGUGUAAAAAUUGAGGAUCCUCGUAAAAUUUGACCAUAUCGGUUCCCAAAGCAUUUGAUUCCUACGUUACAGACGGAAAACAGCAACAAUCGAAUUUAAAGAUUCAUAACACGAUAGAUGGUACAAAAUUUCAAAACGAUAAUUACUAGAGAACAGGAGGGUUAAUAGCCUGAGAUAUGAGCAAUACCUCAACUGCAACGGCAGAUGCAUAUUUACUAUAAAGUCUUUAUAUGAUGUGCCUCCUAUUCCCAGCUUCAACUCCAACUGAAAGAUGUAAAGGUAAUUGUAGGCAAAGAGUUACAAACAUAACCGAAUCCAUGUUUUAUAAGCAACAACUACACUUAUUUUGAUAUGUUUCCUCAUUUUUUACUUGCAAAUUCCGAACCAUAUUGUCGGACCAGUAAAAGAAAAUAAUGUUUAUGAUAACUGUUAAAACUAAUUACAACAAGUUAAUGCAUAAAGAACUUACGGAGGGUGCUAUGAGGCCACCGAAAAGGAUAAACCCCACAAUAAUUGAAUAACAAACAGCAUAAUACUGCUUAAGGUUGUCUGAACUCUGCAAGCAAUGAAUUCACCUUGUGAUUAAUACUUUGCACAAACACUAGUUUUCGCAAUUUUUUAUGAAUCGACAAAAGGCUACAACAAAAUAUGGCUAAAACAUGUCGGGGAUAUGAAAAUACAUGUCUUCACAGGGGCACCAGCUUACCAGGGGAGGCAAAAAUGGAAUGAACGAUGGAAAACUAGGAAGUUCGUUUUCUUGAUCUUCAUUUACCGCUCCAAGCUCUGCACGUUUAAUCCGCUGUUGUAUCCUCAGCCUGCGAACCUACGCAUAUCGAAGCUCAUUCUUAAAGAACACAUUUCUAAUGGCAAUUGGAGAGUAAUUUAAAACAUGCUAAACUGAGAAAGUGGUAGCAACUAGUAAUUGCUCUCACCUCCUCCAUAUGCAAGAAAAUUUUGUUGCGACGACUCCGAAUAUUAUCUUGAAUUUCCUGCAGCUCCAUUGUGGCAAAAUCCUGCACUGUUUCAGGCCCCUCUAUGAUACAAAAUCUGCACCAUUAAGCAUGUAAAAAUUAAAAAUUACAGGCUACAAAGCAAUUUCCGUAUAGUUGUUGGGUUAAAUAACAUCAACAGCAAAUAAAUCACAUAGGUUUUUCACAUAAAGUUACAAACUUUCAAGGACUAAUAAGCUGUCUGCAAUCUCAUAAAUUUCACAGUGCAAAGUAACAAUCCAAAGCUUGGAACUUUAAAUUUCCACCUUCUGUUAAUUUUUUAGUGCACCUGGUGUCGUUAGAUUCGAGUAGUAUGUCACAUUAAAUUUUUUUUUUCUGUGCAUGCAUUUUUUUUUAAAAGAAAAUUUUAUAUUGUUAAAGAGCGAGUUCGAAACUAUUACAUUAUGGAAGGACAUAGUACCGAAACUCCGACGAUCAAAAACAAAAUCAUGUACAACCACUCCAAGCAGUCAACAUGGCCAUCACAUAUUGAAUCCAAAAUGUUGACGCCCCAUUCGCUGCAUAUAAUGUACAGACGAGCGGCAGCUUCAACCAGUUCUGCCAUAUCCGGCUGGAUGAGAGCAGCUAAAGACAUGAUUGUUCCCUAAUAACAUGAAUAAAUUGAGUAAACACCAAAAGUAGCAGCAAGGGAAGGAGAUGUGAAGUAUAUGAAGAGGUGUAAGACCUGUGAAUGUCCAGCAACAAAGAUUUUGGAGCUUGUUGUCGAAUAAUGCAACGCAUCAUUUCUGGUAGAUCAAAUAGAGCCAAUUCCCGCCAACUCCAAUUCCAAAAUUUCUACAGUAAAGCAUAAAUCUUAUUCUCUCUUCUGAUAAAGAUGAGUGUCCCAGACUCCAACGUGUUCCACACACAUUCCCUACCCAUACAUCGAAACCUUCAUCUGCAAGGACGAAUCCCAGCGAUUCUUCUGGAGAAUUUAAGAAUCAUGCAUCACCUGGUUAAGAUCAAGAAAAGCCAGUAACCAAGUUCAAUUGAGUUAAAAUGUAUCCCAUGGAUGUUCAUCACUUUGCCCAAUUGUUCUUUUCAAGAAAGGAAAUUUCAACAGAACCUGAAAACUUCAGAUCAGGGGGCACCAAAUAGUGAGCUAUACAUUCAAAAUUUGAAAUAAUCAACUUAGUAGGACCAGUAUGUUGAAAAAAUGGGAAGGAGCUAUGAAAGUAAGACUUUUCACUAAUCAGGCGUCCAGAGAAUCCAUAUUUUACCCGCGUAUCAGUUACGGGGAACACUCCCCACCAGAGCAAUCUCAUUAGUCCUUCACAUCUCAACCGUACAGAAGUUGCACUAACAAACAUGACUCCUAUUAGUCCUUCACAUCUCAAAUCCAGGAAGUACCCAUCUUUCGUCUGAAUCUGGAAAAUAAGCAGCAGUCAAUUUAACAAUCUCGGUAUCUCAAAGUUACUCACUUUAAUCACAAAUUUAGCAAUUAAACAUAUAAAUGGGCAUUUUUUUAGGGAAAUAUUAGUAUAGUACUCACUGUGUGCUCGGAGCAAGAGUACCCAGAAAGCUCAAUGAGCUGCGCACAGAGGACUGCAGUGGUGAACGACAGCGACCAAUUCUGUAAAAUUUAGUCGAGUUUUGGGAAAUUUCUGCAGCGAUUUCGGAGGUCAAGAGGCUGAUAAGGAAAGCCGCGACCAAAGGGCACUGGUCUGGAAGAAAGGCUUUGGUCGCCGCUAUCGCAAUUCGCGAAGGAAGAAGUGCCCCAAAACAAUUUCGGCCCUGGACAGGUGCACUGUUUGCACUGAGCCAGGGCCGGCCCUGAAUCGCGAUAACGUCCUUCUCCAAACAGUAUAUAUACAGAUGCUAGAAAAAUCUACCGGAACUAUUCAAUUCUAGCGUCUACAGCUUUAGCAUUAGUUGGUACAAGGGGCAUUCUUCCAAAGAGGGAGAUGAAAUCGUUGAGGCACCAAAUAGUGAGCUAUACAUUCAAAAUUUGAAAUAAUCAACAUGGUAGGACCAAUAUGUUGAAAAAAUUGGAAGGAGCUAUGAAAGUAUGGCUUUUCACUAAUCAGGCGUCCACAUAAUCAAUAUUUUACUCACAGAUCAUUUACGGGGAACACUCCCCACCAAAACAAUCUUUUUAGUCCCUCACAUCUCAAACCAAGUAGAAAUUGCAGUAACAAACACAUCUCAAACCCAGUAAGUACCCAUCUUUCGUCUGAAUCUGGAAAACAAGCAGCAGUGGAUUCAACAAUCUGGGUAUCUCAAAGUCACUCACUUUAAUCACAAAAUUAACAAUUAAACAUAUAAAUGGGCAUUUAUUUAGUGAAAUAUUAGUAUAGUACUCACUGUGUGCUCGGAGCAAGAGUACCCAGAAAGCUCAAUGAGCUGCGCACAGAGGGACUGCAGCGGUGACGACGGCAACCGAUUCUGUAAAAUUCAGUCGAGUUUUGGGCGAUUUCUGCAGCGAUUUCGGAGGUCAAGAGGCUGAUAAGGAAAGCUGGGACGGAAGGGCACUGGUCUGGAAGAAAGGCUCAGGACACCGCUGUCCCGAUUCAUGAAGGAAGAAGUGCCCCCAAAACAAUUUCGGCUCUGGACAGGUGUACUGUUUGCACUGGACCAGGGUCGGCCCUGGCGAUAACGUCCCCCAAACAGCACAUAUACAGAUGCUAGAAAUAUAUAAAUGUAACCUGAAACUACUAGAACCAUUCAAUUCUAGCGUCUACAGCUUUAGCAUUAGUUGGUACAAGGGACAUUCUUCCAAAGAGGGAGAUGAACUCAUUGAGGCUCUUAUUUAUUCCUCCUCUUGAUGUGCCCUUUUAGGCUGCUAAUUCCACACGAUCCAAUUUCAUACAUCUUCCCUGCAAAAGCAUGUGUGCCUGACUUCAAGAUCAAAUUUUUCCAACAAAAGAAACUUAAAGAUCAAACUCGCUAGCGGAAUAAGUGGUGCACAAGGGUGUUAAAAUCUUGACAUAUGUAUAUUUUUGGCAGAUUUUAUGUGAGCAUGCAACUAAAACUGGCAUCACUAUCAAUGGUGCACAAAGAUUGGUGGAAAACUUUAACAGUUUGAGUUGUAACUUCUCCAUUGUAUUUGUUAAGGCAAGACGGAUGUCAUCUAUUCAUUUUUCUGUAAAACUUAAAAGGCUGCAUAGCAGCUCUUGUUCGUUGUAUUGAAUACCAUGGUUUUACUGAUGAAUGCAGAGUUUGCUGAUGAUUCAUACGACAAGCAAUUGAAAAUCCCAUCAUUAUGCCCCGCAUAUACCAGAAGAAAAAAAAGUCAUUUACACAAAUUCAGAGCGUUCAUCCACUGUAAUUUGCAGAUAUGGAAACGUUAAGAUAAAAGGAAAUGCAAAGUACCUUUCACCCAAAUUGGAGGAGCAACGGUGGCAUUAGCAAGCUAGCAACGGGAAUUGACAUACCAAUAUCUUCACAGUUUCUGCACAAGAACAAAUCAAAAGAAUCCGGCGGUGGAGUUAUGUACCUCUCCUUGGAAAAUGCCACCUCCUGGGAUUUCAAAAUAUACGGCCGUGGCUAGCCGUCUGACCACGCCAAUUCCACCAAAGCCGCCGCAACGUGGCGUAGUGUCCGGUUGAUUGCUUCAAAACAGAGCUUCGUAUCCAUGUGUUUAUCAGCAGAGAGUACCCAAAACCCCUGAAAAUUAUUUCUUUAUUCAGAUAAUAAAAUUUCCCAAAUUUCGAAUUUUAAUUCCGAACAAAAAAAAUAGGGUUUGAAUUUUGAUUACCUAGAAAUUGGGGGGUUGGGGUGGAGAGGGACUCGGGCCAAGACACAGAUAUGCAUCCGUGAUAAGGUGUGCAAGGCUUUUGCAGUUUCUCAGAUCUAAACACUGAAGCCCCGUAAGCCGUUCAAUCCAGGGGGAAAGCUCUUUAAUAGAUGUUCCAUCCAAGAAAAGAAAUCUUAAUCCUUCCAUAUUUUCUUCAAUGCUUGGAAACACCUCAAAUUUUGUACAACCGGAAAGAGAGAGAAAGGCAAGGGACUUCAGCUGACAAAUGCUACUUGGAAGACUCUUAAGUUCUUUACAAUUUUCUAGCUUCAAAUGAUUCAAUCCCAUGAGAUUAUUAAUUGAUAAGGGCAGUUCUUUAAUUUUCGACCCAGAUAAAUCAAGAACUUUUAACCCCUCAAUCACUUCUGAAAUCUCUGGAAACAUCUCAAGACUCCAGCAACCAUAAAGAUCAAAGGUUUUGAGAGAUUUCAUAUGAAUGCUGCUUGGAAGACUCUUAAGUUCCUUGCAAUCUUGUAGAUUCAAAUGACACAACCUCGUAAGAUUAUUAAUUGACGGGGACAGUUCUUUAAUUUUUGAGCAGGGUAAAUCAAGCUUUUCUAACCCCUCAAUACCUUCUGAAAUCGAUGGAAACAUCUCAAGACUGGAGCAGCCAUAAAGAUUAAAGGUUUUCAGACAUUUCAUAUGAAUGCAGCUUGGAAGACUCUUAAGUUUCUUGCAAUCUUUUAGGUUGAAAUGACUCAACCCCGUGAGAUUAUUAAUUGACAGGGGCAGUUCUUUAAUUUUGGACCCGGAUAAAUUAAGCUCUUCUAACUCCUCCAUACCUUCUGAAAUCUCUGGAAACAUCUCAAGACUGGAGCAGCCAGAAAGAUUAAAGGUUUUGAGAGAUCUCAUACGAAUUUUGCUGGGUAGAAUCUUAAGUUCCUUGCAAUUUGAUAGGUUCAAAUGACACAACCCCAUGAGAUUAUUAAUUGACUCGGGCAGUUCUUUAAUUUUGGACUCGGAUAAAUUAAGCUCUUCUAACUCCUCCAUACCUUCUGAAAUCUCUGGAAACAUCAGAAGACUGGAGCAGCCAAAAAGAUUAAAGGUUUUGAGAGAUCUCAUACGAAUUUUGCUAGGUAGAAUCUUAAGUUCCUUGCAAUUUGAUAGGUUGAAAUGACUCAACCCCAUGAGAUUGUUAAUUGACUCGGACAGUUCUUUAAUUUUGGACCCGGAUAAAUCAAGCUCUUCUAACCCCUCAAUCACUUCUAAAAUCUCUGGAAACAUCUCAAGGCUCACGCAGUUAAUAAGAUCAAGAGUUUUGAGAGAUUGCAUACGAAUUUUACUAGGUAGAAUCUUAAGUUUUUCGCACCCAUUCAGAUCCAAUAAAACAAGUUUUGUAAGAUUCGAAAUAGAUGGGUGAACCUUAACUAACCCUAUACAACCAUGAAGAAUUAGCCUCUCAAGAUUUGGCACAUUUGUGAAGUCAGGGGUUUCCUUAAGGUAUUCACAAUAACUUAAAUUGAUGAAUUUCAACUUUUCCUGCGUCUGUUAAAACAUUCAGGAAAACAUGCAUUACUUAAUAAGACAUCUCACUCAAAGCCCAAACAUUUAAAAGAAACAAAUACAUGUAAAUGAUUGUACAUACCUGGGUUCCUUCCCAAAGUCGGUCAAUG